This 339-nucleotide transfer-messenger RNA is filed under the name Chloroflexota bacterium. RNAcentral's name for it is "Chloroflexi bacterium (soil metagenome) partial transfer-messenger RNA". It matches the Rfam family "transfer-messenger RNA", at positions 41 to 374 of the family's 374-position model. From Rfam's summary of the family: Bacterial tmRNA, also known as 10Sa RNA or SsrA, is named for its dual tRNA and mRNA-like properties. The record is from RNAcentral. Lineage: Bacteria; Bacillati; Chloroflexota.
GAACGCGAGCCGAGGAUGCCACUGGGCCUCGUUAAUCAGGUGGCAAAAAGAAGUACCUGGCAACCGCCAGUCGACUCUCGCUCUCGCUGCUUAGGCAGUAGAGUGAGCGUGGAAGCUGCCUCCGCCUCGCGGGUAGUGGAAGCGUCAUGCAGCGAGGCUGCGAUCCGGACAAGUGUCACGUAGUCCGGAGUCAAGCCCGAUCUAGGGGCACGUGACUGGACCGUCCGGCAGAGUGCCGAUGCCCGUCCGGGCGGUCGACGACAAACCAUCGGACACGCUCGUAGUGGUCUCCGGCGAAAGGUUCUGGACGGGGAGUUCGACUCUCCCCCAUCUCCACCA